RNAcentral lists this ribosomal RNA (800 nucleotides) under Perilachnea flavobrunnea. RNAcentral describes it as "LSU rRNA". It matches the Rfam family "Eukaryotic large subunit ribosomal RNA", at positions 84 to 902 of the family's 3401-position model. The record is from RNAcentral. Lineage: Eukaryota; Fungi; Ascomycota; Pezizomycetes; Pezizales; Pyronemataceae.
UAACUGCGAGUGAAGCGGCACAAGCUCAAAUUUGAAAUCUGGCGUCUUUGGCGUCCGAAUUGUAAUUUGGAGAGGCAUCUUCGGAGACGGCGCCGUCCUAAGUUCCUUGGAACAGGACGUCACAGAGGGUGAGAAUCCCGUGCCUGGAUGGCAGCCCGUUUCCAUGUGAAGUGUCUUCGACGAGUCGAGUUGUUUGGGAAUGCAGCUCAAAAUGGGUGGUAAAUUUCAUCUAAAGCUAAAUACUGGCGAGAGACCGAUAGCGCACAAGUAGAGUGAUCGAAAGAUGAAAAGCACUUUGAAAAGAGAGUUAAAAAGUACGUGAAAUUGUUGAAAGGGAAGCGCUUGAGACCAGACUCGAUCCUUGGUGAUCAGCCUCGCUUCUGCGUGGUGCACUUGCCAUUGAUUGGGCCAGCAUCGGUUCCAGCGGUGGGAUAAAAGGCAAAGGAAUGUAGCUUCCCUCGGGGAGUGUUAUAGCCUUCGUCACAAUGCCAUCAGUCAGGACCGAGGACCGCGCUUCGGCUAGGAUGCUGGCGUAAUGGUCUUAAGCGACCCGUCUUGAAACACGGACCAAGGAGUCUAACAUCUAUGCGAGUGUUCGGGUGGAAAACCCUUGCGCGUAAUGAAAGUGAACGGAGGUGGGAACCCGCGAGGGUGCACCAUCGACCGAUCCUGAUGUCUUCGGAAGGAUUUGAGUAAGAGCAUAGCUGUUGGGACCCGAAAGAUGGUGAACUAUGCCUGAAUAGGGUGAAGCCAGANGAAACUCUGGUGGAGGCUCGCAGCGGUUCUGACGUGCAAUCGAU